AUUGAGCGCUGGCGGCAGGCCUAACACAUGCAAGUCGAGCGGAUGAAGGGAGCUUGCUCCUGGAUUCAGCGGCGGACGGGUGAGUAAUGCCUAGGAGUCUGCCUGGUAGUGGGGGAUAACGUCCGGAAACGGGCGCUAAUACCGCAUACGUCCUGAGGGAGAAAGUGGGGGAUCUUCGGACCUCACGCUAUCAGAUGAGCCUAGGUCGGAUUAGCUAGUUGGUGGGGUAAGGCCUACCAAGGCGACGAUCCGUAACUGGUCUGAGAGGAUGAUCAGUCACACUGGAACUGAGACACGGUCCAGACUCCUACGGGAGGCAGCAGUGGGGAAUAUUGGACAAUGGGCGAAAGCCUGAUCCAGCCAUGCCGCGUGUGUGAAGAAGGUCUUCGGAUUGUAAAGCACUUUAAGUUGGGAGGAAGGGCAGUAAGUUAAUACCUUGCUGUUUUGACGUUACCAACAGAAUAAGCACCGGCUAACUUCGUG
This 483-nucleotide ribosomal RNA is filed under the name uncultured bacterium. Its description in RNAcentral is "partial 16S ribosomal RNA". It matches the Rfam family "Bacterial small subunit ribosomal RNA", at positions 30 to 507 of the family's 1533-position model. The record is from RNAcentral.